UCUCCGUUGGUGAACCAGCGGAGGGAUCAUUACAGAGUUAUCAAAACUCCCAAACCCAUGUGAACAUACCUCGCGUUGCCUCGGCAGGUGGCGUCUCGCCCCGUAAGAACCUACCCUGUAGGAACGUACCCGGUAGACGACCCUGCCGACGGCCCCCGAAACUCUGUUUUAUAGCAUUAAACUUCUGAAAACAUAACUAAAUAAAUUAAAACUUUCAACAACGGAUCUCUUGGUUCUG
This 238-nucleotide unclassified non-coding RNA is filed under the name plant metagenome. RNAcentral's name for it is "partial contains small subunit ribosomal RNA, internal transcribed spacer 1, and 5.8S ribosomal RNA". The record is from RNAcentral.